GCGUGAGUUUAGAUCGCAUGGUUGCCGAGUCUUGUAUAAAUACAUUGCAUUGAGUAAUAGAAGUUGAGGCCGUGAGGGCUAUAGGGAAAAUGUAGUCUUUAUGUGCACCAAGGAAGAGUGUUCUGGGCAAAGCCUCGUUGGGUUUCUUCCUUGGAUGUGUGCGUGUGUGUUUUCUGAGUUUCACCAUGUGUGUGUGUGCCUUGUGUGAGACAAAGAGAGUUGAGCUGUGAGAGGCAGCUCAAGGUAGUAGAAGAAGCGGCGCUGCAAGGAGAUUCAGCGCCAACAAUUGGCAUCAGAGCCCUGUCGAUCCGUGGCGGUGACUACGGUACCGGCGGCUAUGGUGGCCGGCGUGGCGGUGGCGGAGGCAACGGCUGCGACGGCGGCGACGCGGUGGACUCCAUGUGAGGUGGAGGACGCCGACGCGAGGUGAUGGCUGGCGGCGGCGCGAUGCCGCUGGUGGCCGGUUGCGGUGCAAUGCUGCGAGGUGAUGAUGGCGUGGUGAUCGGUGUUGCGAAGGCGCCGUCCACGACAAGAGGUGGCCACUGCGUGUGGCAGGACGAUGUGGUGAUGGGCGCCGCGACAGCGUCGUCCUCGGCAAGGAGAAGUCGCUACAUUCGGCAAGUGGUUGUGGGUGAUCCGCGUCGGAGAUUGGAGAAUCAAGAUUAAGGGGGGAAAUGUUAGCUUUAAUCUUGAUGUAUGUAUCUGCAUAUUUAGUUUGCUUUCAUCAUGCAUGUAGGAUAGGUUAGAGAGUAGCUAGUCCGGUCAAGCUUCAGCGAAGAUGUGCGGAGAAGGCGAGAUGCCAGGGCGCCGUGUGAUACGGCGAGUACGGCGAGAUGCUGCAAAGCUGCGCGAGGUGGCACGGCCGUGUGAUGCGGCAAGUACAUGAGAGGCUGGAGCCUGACCGGCUAGACGAGGUGGUUAGAGCUGAGAGAUUCACAGAGUUUGUUAGUUGCUUGGCCGAGUCAUGGCUGUUGGAGCAAUUCCAGGACUGGAUAAGGCCGGUAGUGCGUGUGUUAGUGCCUGCAUGGCUUAGUGGGAUUAGUUGCCGAGAGGGUUGGUGGCUAGUGCGUGCGUGGGUCCUCUUUACUGGCGUGAGUUUAGAUCGCAUGGUUGCCGAGUCUUGUAUAAAUACAUUGCAUUGAGUAAUAGAAGUUGAGGCCGUGAGGGCUAGAGGAAAAAUGUAGUCUUUGUGUGCACCAAGGAAGAGUGUUCUGGGCAAAGCCUCGUUGGGUUUCUUCCUUGGCUGUGUGCGUGUGUGUUUUCUGAGUUUCACCAUGUGUGUGUGUGUGUUCUUGUGUGAGACAAAGAGAGUUGAGCUGUGAGAGGCAGCUCAAGGUAGUAGAAGAAGCGGCGCUGCGAGGAGAGGCGGCGCUAACACACAAGCCCGGAUGUUUCUUAUGUGCUAAGUGUUAGUAUAAGGUACCAAAGUGAUUUAGGAUUGACUCACUCGCAACAAUGAAAAAUAUUCUUAAGUACCGUAGAAAUACUAAAGAUUUUUUCCUUGUUUAGUGAGGCGAUGAAGAGCUCAUUGUAAAUCGUUACACUGAUGCUAGCUUCUUGACUGAUACAG
This 1570-nucleotide long non-coding RNA is filed under the name Triticum aestivum (bread wheat). Its description in RNAcentral is "long non-coding RNA (TAES_LNC004618)". Lineage: Eukaryota; Viridiplantae; Streptophyta; Magnoliopsida; Poales; Poaceae. The record is from RNAcentral.